This 1349-nucleotide long non-coding RNA is filed under the name Brachypodium distachyon (stiff brome). Its description in RNAcentral is "long non-coding RNA (BDIS_LNC003825)". Lineage: Eukaryota; Viridiplantae; Streptophyta; Magnoliopsida; Poales; Poaceae. The record is from RNAcentral.
GGCGGAGCUCCGGACGCGGCUUCGGUAUGGGUUCGGGGACGGCGCGGCCAACGGCAUGAACAGGUCAUGAAACCUUGUCACAAAGGUAGGUAAGGGUCACAUGAGUCUACUGGUCAAAGGAAUCGAAGAACGGAGGUUCGGGGUGAUCUCACCGGCAACAAUGAUGGCGGUGACCGACGGAGGAAGACGUCGACGUAGCCGGCUGUACAGAGGUUUUGAGGCCAAACUUUCUACAUGGGAAUGGGAGAGGAGAGGCAAAAGCUCAAAGUGACGCGCGUGGAAUCCUUUUAUAGUGGCCGAGGAGGGAGAUCGGGCGUGGAUGUCGACGGCCGACAUUCGGGGCACCUAUUUUGGAAACUGCGAUAAUUAGAGGAAACUUCAAAUUGAUUUCCUGAAUGGAUUCCCGGGAUGGUGAGGAUUGAUGGGGUGGUUUCCUUUUGGAGAGAGACGCACGGAAAGGAAAGAAAUUGAAGAAAGAAAAUAUGGAAAGAAAGGAUUUCUUACGUGAGGAGGAGGAAGCACGAGCUCGUGCUCGUGGCUGGGUGGGGCGUUCGGUGGAGAUGGGCCGGCCCAGUUGGGUCGGUCCAUUCUCUUUUCUUUUUUUUUUCUUUUUUUUUCCAUUUUUUUUAUUAAUAACUUUUGAUUCCUAACUCCAAAUAAGUCUAAAUAAACUCCAGAAAAUUUGUAAAUUCAAAUUCUCCAAAGUGUGAGAUUUUGGGACUUGAAUCCUUUCAAAAAUAAAAUAAGUAAAAAUACUUUUGCUUAUAUAAAUGUCAUUAGAGCUUUAUAAGUAAUACCUAAAAUAGGUUUUGAAAUCUAUUAUGAAACCUUUGUUUCAUAAAUUAGUUUAAACUCCAAUAAACAUAUUGGGUUGGCAUACUUUGCACUAAAAUCCUUCUUUAGCUAAAUACCCCAUUGGGUUGAACUCCAAAGAAGAUCUCAUAAUAAUUAUACGGUUCAAUAAAAUUCCCUAAUAGCUUUAUAACACCAAAUCUCAAAUCAUGUAAACCAUCGCAGAUGUUUCCAACUAUAUAUAUAUUUGGGAAGUCACGUUAUCCCACUCUCAACGACGGAAUAAAUGUUGGAAUAACAUUUGCACACGAGGAUGUCACGUUAUCAUCUUCUCGAAUAUUUGAUAGUUUUCUCUCGGAAACAAAAUGAACACGACCAAGCAAAUAUCGGGAAAAACAUAAGUGAAUCAUUAAAUAUGUUUUCCAUCCAUAUACUUAGAAAGUCAUAUUAUUCCCUUUAACAUUUAGAUAAAUGUUGGAGAACAUUUCUGAUCCAUUUAAAUAUUCCAACGAUGGUCUCAAAUGGUCAUGGCAUCCAAAUUGGAAUCUUAGUGUGUU